GAAAUGCGAUAACUAAUGUGAAUUGCAGAAUUCAGUGAAUCAUCGAGUCUUUGAACGCACAUUGCGCCCCCUGGUAUUCCGGGGGGCAUGUCUGUCCGAGCGUCAUUGCUGCCCUCAAGCCCGGCUUGUGUGUUGGGCCCUCGUCCCCCGGCUCCCGGGGGACGGGCCCGAAAGGCAGCGGCGGCACCGCGUCCGGUCCUCGAGCGUAUGGGGCUUCGUCUUCCGCUCCGUAGGCCCGGCCGGCGCCCGCCGACGCAUUUAUUUGCAACUUGUUUUUUUCCAGGUUGACCUCGGAUCAGGUAGGGAUACCCGCUGAACUUAAGC
This 324-nucleotide unclassified non-coding RNA is filed under the name plant metagenome. RNAcentral's name for it is "partial contains 5.8S ribosomal RNA, internal transcribed spacer 2, and large subunit ribosomal RNA". The stretch from base 1 to 105 matches the Rfam family "5.8S ribosomal RNA", at positions 50 to 154 of the family's 154-position model. The record is from RNAcentral.